GCCAUUGUGGUGGAAGUGGUAGACACACUAGAUUUAAAAUUUAGGGCUAUAUGAGUUCAAUCCUCAUCAAUGGUA
RNAcentral lists this transfer RNA (75 nucleotides) under Amphimedon compressa (erect rope sponge). Its description in RNAcentral is "tRNA-Leu". It matches the Rfam family "tRNA". From Rfam's summary of the family: Transfer RNA (tRNA) molecules are approximately 80 nucleotides in length. Their secondary structure includes four short double-helical elements and three loops (D, anti-codon, and T loops). Lineage: Eukaryota; Metazoa; Porifera; Demospongiae; Haplosclerida; Niphatidae. The record is from RNAcentral.